This 764-nucleotide long non-coding RNA is filed under the name Mus spicilegus (steppe mouse). Its description in RNAcentral is "lncRNA (ENSMSIG00000023694.1)". The record is from RNAcentral. Lineage: Eukaryota; Metazoa; Chordata; Mammalia; Rodentia; Muridae.
AGGAGAAUUAGAAGGCUUAGAGAUGGAAAAUUCGGAGAAGAAAAGAAUUAUGUCUUCAGAUUUCUGGAGGGGCUAGCUGGUGACUACGAGUCCAGAGAACAUUCACCACGACAUUCAUUAGAAGGGAGGAGUGAAAGGUGUCCACCAGAGCAUCUUCUGAUUCUCCUCAGAGCCCUGUGUGUGAGUUAUAUAAGUCCUCAGGAGCCUGCAGGCCUGGAGCAAAGUCAUGCUACAGGAAGAGAACUACUGACAAUAGCAUCCUGGUACUCCAGGGACCUAAGAGAGACUGCCCGAGACACACUGCUCCAAGGCUGGUGGAAGCUGGAAGUGAACAAGAAAGGUAGCGACUGUGAUAGGACAAGAGGAACCACAGACUGCAAGGAGGACAGGAAGUGCACAGAGCCACCACAAGAAAUCCACCUGGCUUUCUCUUGACUUGGGAAAAUGAUGUUCCAGGGUUCAGUAUGUCAUCAGCAACCUUCAGGACCCUGCAUGGUGAGUAUCUUGUUUCUUCCACCUUCUAGGUGUUCCACUAUGUCUUGGGACAUGAGGUGGGUGAUGUUUUUCUUUGAUGUCAAUGAGACAAUUUGUGUUGUCAAUUCUUCCAAUGAUCUCUCUUUACAUGGUCUGAGAUUUGUCUUGAUCUGCUGAAAGCAUGAUUCCACCACUAAGGUAAUGUUUUACACGGUCUUGAUGCCUGCCUUGCCCAUCUUCCUGGUACCCAGCCUGGAGGUGAUGUCUCAGAGCCAUAACCUGCACUUCAG